AUUGAACGCUGGCGGCAGGCCUAACACAUGCAAGUCGAGCGGCAGCACAGAGAAACUUGUUUCUCGGGUGGCGAGCGGCGGACGGGUGAGUAAUGCCUGGGAAAUUGCCCUGAUGUGGGGGAUAACCAUUGGAAACGAUGGCUAAUACUGCAUGAUGCCUACGGGCCAAAGAGGGGGACCUUCGGGCCUCUCGCGUCAGGAUAUGCCCAGGUGGGAUUAGCUAGUUGGUGAGGUAAGGGCUCACCAAGGCGACGAUCCCUAGCUGGUCUGAGAGGAUGAUCAGCCACACUGGAACUGAGACACGGUCCAGACUCCUACGGGAGGCAGCAGUGGGGAAUAUUGCACAAUGGGCGCAAGCCUGAUGCAGCCAUGCCGCGUGUGUGAAGAAGGCCUUCGGGUUGUAAAGCACUUUCAGUUGUGAGGAAGGUGGUGUCGUUAAUAGCGGCAUCAUUUGACGUUAGCAACAGAAGAAGCACCGGCUAACUCCGUGCCAGCAGCCGCGGUAAUACGGAGGGUGCGAGCGUUAAUCGGAAUUACUGGGCGUAAAGCGCAUGCAGGUGGUUUGUUAAGUCAGAUGUGAAAGCCCGGGGCUCAACCUCGGAACUGCAUUUGAAACUGGCAGACUAGAGUACUGUAGAGGGGGGUAGAAUUUCAGGUGUAGCGGUGAAAUGCGUAGAGAUCUGAAGGAAUACCGGUGGCGAAGGCGGCCCCCUGGACAGAUACUGAGACUCAGAUGCGAAAGCGUGGGGAGCAAACAGG
RNAcentral lists this ribosomal RNA (759 nucleotides) under uncultured bacterium. Its description in RNAcentral is "bacterial SSU rRNA". It matches the Rfam family "Bacterial small subunit ribosomal RNA", at positions 28 to 776 of the family's 1533-position model. The record is from RNAcentral.